GUUUAUUUGAUAGCACUUUUUACUCGGAUAACUGUGGUAAUUUCUAGAGCUAAUACGUGCUGAAAAUCCCGACUUCGGAAGGGAUGUAUUUAUUAGAUUAAAGCCAAUGCCCUCUGGGCUUCAUGGUGAUUCAUAAUAACUUCUCGAAUCGCAUGGCCUUGCGCCGGCGAUGGUUCAUUCAAAUUUCUUCCCUAUCAACUUUCGAUGCGAGGGUAUUGUCCUCGCAUGGUUACAACGGGUAACGGAGGGUUAGGGCUCGACCCCGGAGAAGGAGCCUGAGAAACGGCUACUACAUCCAAGGAAGGCAGCAGGCGCGCAAAUUACCCAAUCCCGACACGGGGAGGUAGUGACAAUAAAUACUGAUACAGGGCUCUUUUGGGUCUUGUAAUCGGAAUGAGUACAAUUUAAAUCCCUUAACGAGGAACAAUUGGAGGGCAAGUCUGGUGCCAGCAGCCGCGGUAAUUCCAGCUCCAAUAGCGUAUAUUAAAGUUGUUGUGGUUAAAAAGCUCGUAGUCGAACCUUGGGCCUGGCUACACGGACCGCCUCACCGCGAGAUCUGCCGUAGCCGGGUCUUUCCCUCUGUGGAACCCCAUGGCCUUCACUGGUCGUGGCGGGGAAACAGGACUUUUACUGUGAAAAAAUUAGAGUGCUCCAAGCAGGCCUAUGCUCGAAUAUAUUAGCAUGGAAUAAUGAAAUAGGACGUUUGGUCGUAUUUCGUUGGCUAUAUGACCGACGUAAUGAUCAAAAGAAGCAGUCGGGGGCGUCCGUAUUCAGUUGUCAGAGGUGAAAUUCUUGGAUCUACUGAAGACGAACUACUGCGAAAGCAUUCGCCAAGGAUGUUUUCAUUGAUAAGGAACGAAAGUUAGGGGAUCGAAGACGAUCAGAUACCGUCGUAGUCUUAACUAUAAACUAUGCCGACUAGGGAUCGGACGAUGUUAUCUUUUGACUCGUUCGGCACCUUUCGAGAAAUCAAAGUGCUUGG
This 982-nucleotide ribosomal RNA is filed under the name Ascoglobospora marina. RNAcentral describes it as "SSU rRNA". It matches the Rfam family "Eukaryotic small subunit ribosomal RNA", at positions 115 to 1110 of the family's 1831-position model. The record is from RNAcentral. Lineage: Eukaryota; Fungi; Ascomycota; Sordariomycetes; Microascales; Halosphaeriaceae.